RNAcentral lists this ribosomal RNA (253 nucleotides) under uncultured bacterium. RNAcentral describes it as "partial 16S ribosomal RNA". It matches the Rfam family "Bacterial small subunit ribosomal RNA", at positions 524 to 776 of the family's 1533-position model. The record is from RNAcentral.
UACGUAGGGGGCAAGCGUUGUCCGGAAUCACUGGGCGUAAAGCGCGCGCAGGCGGCUGUCUACGUCCGGGGUGAAAGCCCAGAGCUCAACUCUGGGACUGCCUUGGAUACGGGAUGGCUUGAGGAUCGGAGAGGCAAGGGGAAUUCCACGUGUAGCGGUGAAAUGCGUAGAGAUGUGGAGGAACACCGGUGGCGAAGGCGGCGUCCUGGACCAACACUGACACUGAUAAGCGAAAGCCAGGGGAGCAAACGGG